CAGUAGCCGCGGGAAAACGGAGGGUGCAAGCGUUAAUCGGAAUUACUGGGCGUAAAGCGCACGCAGGCGGUCUGACAAGUCAGAUGUGAAAUCCCCGGGCUUAACCUGGGAACUGCAUUUGAAACUGUCAGGCUGGAGUCUUGUAGAGGGGGGUGGAAUUCCAGGUGUAGCGGUGAAAUGCGUAGAGAUCUGGAGGCAUACCGGUGGCGAAGGCGGCCCCCUGGACAAAGACUGACGCUCAGGUGCGAAAGCGUGGGGAGCAAACAGGAUUAGAUACCCCGGUAGUCCCUGUCUCUUAUAC
Molecule: ribosomal RNA, 301 nt
Filed under: uncultured bacterium
Lineage: Bacteria
Description: partial 16S ribosomal RNA
Rfam family: Bacterial small subunit ribosomal RNA
Source: RNAcentral